AAGAAAUAAAAAGAAAGAAAGAAACAAACAGUGGUAUCCUUAGGAGAUGACACACAUCAUGAGAUCACCCAGUGAGUUUGUUUUUCCUAAGUGACUAACAAAAGUGAAGGGAUGGAAGGGUGUGGCUGGCCAUGUUAAGGGUGCAAUUAGUGGCCCCAGAGCAUGAGCCAGGGAACACUGGCCCUACAUGGGCUUGCAACAGAUUGUACUUAACUGGAAAAGUCAACCAUCUCUAAAUACUUUUCCCUGAUUUCCUCUUUUCCUAACUCUCUGAGAAGCUUAGCAAGAAAUUGACUCUAUGACCUGAGAUCUAUAAUCUUUAUUUAUUUAUUUAUUUUUGUUUUCGGCGGACACAACAUCUUUGUUUGUAUGUGGUGCUGAGGAUCGAACCUGGGCCGCACACAUGCCAGGUGAGCACGCUACCGCUUGAGCCACAUCCCCAGCCCCUGUCCUGUGCUCUAAAGAGAAGGAUAAGGAAGGGAACUGGGGACCUCAGACCCCUUACCCCAAGACCAAGCAAUGAUGGUCCCCACUCAUCAUGACCACUACCAUCAUUAAACACCUUCCUGCACAUGGCUGUCCCUUCUAUCAUUUCUUCCUAGUACAAGCAUCCAUUAAACACUUGACACCUACCUGCCAGAUGCUGGUUUACAGAUAUCAACUCCAUACUCUUUGCCCACCACAUACUUAUAGACCACUGGGGAGACAAACUGAAAAAAAAACAACACAGAGAUACACCCCAAACAGCAAAAGACCCAGAUAAAGGCUGCUAAGUUUCCAGGGUUUCCAGCCUAACAAGCAGAUACACAACACCACCCCACCUCCAAACACACAGUCACUGUGACUGGGAGCAAACAUGCAGACCAUAAGGCAAUACACAUAGGGCGAAUAAAAGAAACAGAUUGUUUGGAUGUCAAGGGUAAGUCUUCUUUUUAUGGAUAUUGUGGGAGAAUAUGUCAUGGGCACUCUUGCCCAGAACUGGGUGUGGUAAGAAAGAACUUUGGAAAAGGGCAGGGACAGCAGGAGUGAGAGACCCAUGUGUCUGGCAGAACAACUGGGGAAAGUGGGCAUUAGGCUGA
Molecule: long non-coding RNA, 1079 nt
Filed under: Marmota monax (woodchuck)
Lineage: Eukaryota; Metazoa; Chordata; Mammalia; Rodentia; Sciuridae
Source: RNAcentral